UGGGGAAUAUUGCACAAUGGGCGCAAGCCUGAUGCAGCCAUGCCGCGUGUGUGAAGAAGGCCUUCGGGUUGUAAAGCACUUUCAGCGAGGAGGAAGGUGGUGAGCUUAAUACGCUCAUCAAUUGACGUUACUCGCAGAAGAAGCACCGGCUAACUCCGUGCCAGCAGCCGCGGUAAUACGGAGGGUGCAAGCGUUAAUCGGAAUUACUGGGCGUAAAGCGCACGCAGGCGGUUUGUUAAGUCAGAUGUGAAAUCCCCGGGCUCAACCUGGGAACUGCAUUUGAAACUGGCAAGCUAGAGUCUCGUAGAGGGGGGUAGAAUUCCAGGUGUAGCGGUGAAAUGCGUAGAGAUCUGGAGGAAUACCGGUGGCGAAGGCGGCCCCCCUGGACGAAGACUGACGCUCAGGUGCGAAAGCGUGGGGCAGCAAACAGGAUUAGAUACCCUGGUAGGUCCACGCUGUAAAACGAUGUCGAUUUUGGAGGUUGUGCCCCUUGAGGCGUGGGCUUCCGGAGCUAACGCGUUAAAUCGA
RNAcentral lists this ribosomal RNA (528 nucleotides) under uncultured bacterium. Its description in RNAcentral is "partial 16S ribosomal RNA". It matches the Rfam family "Bacterial small subunit ribosomal RNA", at positions 355 to 868 of the family's 1533-position model. The record is from RNAcentral.